AGUUUGUUUAUAACAGAUAAUGGUGUACAAAUUAGAAAAAUUUUACUGAAUUCUAGCAGUUGUUCAAAUGAUGUUCAAAUUCUGUAAUGAAUUCUGUAACAGUAGCACUAAAAGGUUUAUCAUAUUUUAAAAUAGUUGUGCGUUCAUCAGCUGAACUUCCUCCUAUUAAAAAAUUUUUAAUAUCAAUAGUUUUCUAUCACACAAAAUCAUCUGCCGUUCAAAAUAUUCGUGACAAAAGAACAGUUGUCGUAGCAGGGACCGUAGCAAAACGUCGUCCGCGGAGCGUCUUCCUUUACAAACGAAUGCUACCUAGAGCGACAUAGCCUGGGGUAUUAAAGGUGCACGAAGGUGUUGCAAAGAUGGGUUGAUGCUAGAGAGCACUCGCAUUGACGUUUACGCGCGGAGAAGCGCGAGCCGGCGUGCAGGGGAGUCGUGAACAAACCGGGACGCAACAGUCGCUCACCAGACUUUGUGCUGGAAGGAUCGUAGGAGGUAUGGUUUCGCGCCUCCGUGACAUUUCGUGACUUCGACCCGGGAUACCUGUUACAAACGGCAGCCCAGAAGCAGCGUGGUGAAGUCCAGUAACCUGGGAUAUAUGUAAAAGAAUGGAGGCAACAGGAGAUCCAUCGGCGUAAUAGACACAGGAGUUGUCCAAUGUUUUUGAAUCAUUUGUACCUGAUUCUGAGAGAAAUACAAUACAUUCACGAUGACGAUAACGGCGUCCACGGAGAGGAUGGACACGACGAAGGAUCUUCCGAAAAAAAAGUUCAUCAACAUCAAUCUUUUAUCUUUGAAGCUUUUACUAUUCCUCUUUUUCGGUGGAAUGGGUUGCCUCUUCCCCUUUCUCCCUCUUCACAUGACAGAAAUGGGACUGAGCAUCGAGCAAAUACGAAUGGUUUCAAUGAUCUCUCCAGCGAUAGCGAUACUGGGACCUCUGAUCGCCGCCCCAAUUGCAGACAAGUUGGCCGGUCAUCAAGGAAGAAACGAUAAAUCAUCGACCGGUCGUUAUCUCAGAGUGAUGAUCGCCAUUGCCUGCAUUCUGUCCGGCAUUUUCUACGUUUUUCUACUGGUCAUACCGUCUGCGAAUCUCAACGAACCAUCAAGAGAGAAGAGACCAGCGUUGAAGUUUAAUUGUGAUCAAAAAGGGGCGUUGGUGCUUCAGAAAAGAUGCAAAGAUCAGACUUGUCAUAGAUGGUCUGACGAGAGCAGAACUGGCCCGUUGCUCCUUCAAAGCUGUAACUAUGCUUGUUAUCCCAUUGGAUCGAAACGAUGGUACUCCGACGAAAACGACGAGUCCAUUUAUGGGACCACCGAUUCCGUUUUGGGAGUUCUCGAUGGUAGCGGGGACACUAGUGUGAUCCCUCUCGAAAGCGAAAUGUACGCUCAGGAACAAGAAGAGUUGAAAAAGAUUAAGCGAUUUGUGACACUUGAUAGUGAGCCUCCUCACUUGUGCUUUAAAGAAGCUGGCAACGUUAUUUGCCACGUUUACACCGAAUACUCAGGUAAUUUGGCUCUGAAUGCGACACUGAAGCAAGCGCUCAGCAGCGAAGGCGAACAAGGGUGGUGUGCAUAUCCCUUGGCUGAGUACUUUGCUUGCCGUAUACCUCCGGACUUGGAAAUUAAAAUGGCGGAGGUCUCUCAGAGUUGUUCUAUCGAAUGUGACUUAGUUGAUCCUUACACUCUUCCAGACAGCGUUCUCGUGGAGUACAUGUGUCAACAGAAUGAGAAUUGGUCUCAGUUAGUGUUCUGGACCUAUUUGGCCAUUCGAUCAACGGCUGACAUUUUCCCAACAACAGCAGUAGCUCUAAUCGAUGCUGCCGUCGUGAUAGCUACCAGAGAAACAUCUUGUGGACGCGGCGAUGUGGGUCGUCAGUUGGCGUUUGGUUCCCUCGGUUUUGCUAUCUUCGGCUCCUUAACCGGCUACCUGAGCACUUUGAUCGAAAAUUUGACCUCUUUCUGCUAUCUGCCGAUCUGUAUGCACGCUAUAAUGAUGCUGUUAACUGCUGUGGUAGCACUUUGCGCGAACGGCAUGCCUCUCAGUCCACCAGAAUGGUGGUGGCACACUAGAAGUGGCAUGCUUGCGCUUCCCAUGAGCGCUAUUAAGAGAUACGGUAGCGAGACUGCCGCUCUGGUGAUAGUGCUAAUUGUUAUGGGAACAUUUUGGAGUGCUAUGGACAGUUAUCUACCUCUACAUUUGCAAAAAUUAGGAGGUGACGAACUGCCCAUUGGAGUAGCAAUGACCGUAGGAGCAGUACCUGCAUUCCUAUUCCUCUGGAAGUCUGAGCAUCUCGUUGAUUAUUGUGGUCAUAGUAAUCUUCUUAUCACUGCCUUUACCGUGUACAUUAUUAGGUUUACUGGUCUAAGUCUGAUCGCAGAACCCUGGUGGUCUCUAAUCUCGGAGGCCUUUGAGGUUUUUACUCUAGGUAUUAUGUGGAUUACUGCCAUUCUGUAUCUUAGACAUCUUGUCCCGCGUCAUUUAACCGUGACUGCUCAAGCACUACCUGUGAUUGCACAUUUCUGCGUUGGUCGAUGCAUUGGAGCUGUGAUUGGUGCUUACAUCAAUGUCGAUGACUCUAAUAUCGUUGCCUCGCUUAGAUUCGUUUAUCGUUGCAUGGCAGCCGCAGCAGCUGCUGUUUCUGCACUGUACUUCAUCUUGUAUCAUGGCCUAUUGAAACCACGGUGUCAUGCACACAACAUACAAGGCCCUCGACAACCGCCUACUGUUGUACAAGGUAAAUAAAUUUGAUAAUAUAUUAAUACAAGAGAUUAAUGAGUAUUUUAUCAUACAAGCUGCCAUUAAGGAAUAUGAAUUGACAAUGAACGGAAAUGGGAGUUACACGCCGCUCAGGGUCUACCACAACGGCAUGGGCAGAAAAGGUCAAUUU
This 2885-nucleotide unclassified non-coding RNA is filed under the name Megachile rotundata (alfalfa leafcutting bee). RNAcentral describes it as "uncharacterized LOC100877436, transcript variant X7". Lineage: Eukaryota; Metazoa; Arthropoda; Insecta; Hymenoptera; Megachilidae. The record is from RNAcentral.